GAGAUCUGUUUUAGACUUAAGGUGAUAUCCUUCCCUACACAUAUACCCGUGAUUUGUUUUAGACUUAAGGUGAUAUCCUACCCUACACAUAUACCCGUGAUUUGUUUCAGACUUAAGGUGAUCUCCUACCCUACACAUAUACCGGAGAUCUGUUUUAGACUGAAGGUGAUAUCCUACCCUACACAUAUACCUGAGAUUUGUUUUAGACUUAAGGUGUUAUCCUACCCUACACCAUAUACCUGUGAUUUGUUUUAGACUUAGGUGAUAUCCUUCUCUACACAUAUACCGGUGAUUUGUUUUAGACUUAGGUGAUAUCCUACCCUACACAUAUACCCGUGAUUUGUUUUAGACUUAAGGUGAUAUCCUACCCUACACAUGUACCUGAGAUCUGUUUUAGACUUAGGUGAUAUCCUUCCCUACACAUACACCUGAGAUCUGUUUUAGACUUAGGUGAUAUCCUUUUCUACACAUAUACCGGUGAUUUGUUUUAGACUUAGGUGAUAUCCUUCUCUACACACAUACCGGUGAUUUGUUUUAGACUGAAGGUGAUAUCCUAUCUACACAUAUACCCGUGAUUUGUUUUAGACUUAAGGUGAUAUACUAUCUACACAUAUACCGGUGAUUUGUUUUAAACUGAAGGUGAUAUCCUACCCUACACAUAUACACGUGAUUUGUUUUAGACUUAAGGUGAUAUACUAUCUACACAUAUACCGGUGAUUUAUUUCAGUUUUAAGGUGAUAUCCUACCCUACACAAAACCGGUGAUUUGGUUUAGACUUAAGGUGACCUCCUACCCUACACAUAUACCCC
This is a long non-coding RNA of Mizuhopecten yessoensis (Yesso scallop), 809 nucleotides long. RefSeq lists it as uncharacterized. The transcript has 3 exons. NCBI's taxonomy places the organism in Eukaryota, Metazoa, Mollusca, Bivalvia, Pectinida, Pectinidae. The record is from RefSeq and is a predicted model, not a curated record.